UUGUUGACUCCUCUCCGUCUCCGUGUGCCUCCAUGUUCUGAUUUUUGCCGACUCCCUUCGUUUCCCAGUAACUCGCCUUCAACCUUCCUGCAUCGACUUUGCCUUCUUCUCUUCAACUUGAGAGGUUAUAGUCGAUCUUACUCCACUGCACCCUCCCAGUUAGCUCUUUUCGCAGAGCGGUUCUCUCCUGUGGGUGAAUACAGCUGAGAGGAUCGGCCCACAGAUGGAAUUCAACGGAAGUCAGGCUCUAAUGAUCAUCCUUGCUUUGACUGUAGGAGGACUGUAUGUGCUCUGAUUGCGCUUCUGUUCGAGCUAUUGUUGGCAGAUGAUGGGCAGAAAAGAAAACUUUGCUUGGGGACAACUCACGAAAUCGAAGAGGGGGGGGGGGGCUCGGAGUCAACCUCGAGAACAGAUGAUGCGUCUGGAGAAGAGAACGAGGCGCUAAGGAGGGACUCGGCGUCAACCUCAAGAACGGACGAUGUGUCGGGGGAAGAGAACGAGGCAUUCAACACAUCGGGAACAGAGUACGACGUGUUCUUGAGUUUCCGGGGACCAGACACACGCAACAAUUUCACCGAUUGCCUUUACCGUAGAUUGAGACUCGCUGGAUUCCAUGUCUUUCUAGACAACGAAGAACUCCGAGUCGGCAAAGAAAUCAGUGGAGAGCUUUUGAAAGCACUUAACAAGUCUCGAAUCUACAUACCCAUAUUCUCUCAUGAUUACGCUGCCAGCUCGUGGUGUCUCCAUGAGGCUGCGCAUAUGGAAAAAUGCACCUCAAAAUCAAAUGGGAAGAAAGAGAUACUUCCCAUUUUUUAUGAUGUGGACCCUGAUGAUGUUAAACUCAAAACCGAAUUAUACAAAAAUGCCAUAGCCAAGCACGAGGAGAAAUUCGGCCUUGAUGAAUUGAAGCGGUGGGAGGCUGCUCUCGUAAAAGUUGCACGUCUCAAGGGAUGGGAUGGGAUCUUAAACGGAAAGGCCAAGGGGAACUAAUUGACUUGGUUGUUGAAGAGGUAUUCUGUAGGCUUAAUGCCAGAUGCGUGGAUGUGCCUAAACAUCUGAUUGAAGAUCAUCCCCAGAUAAAAGCCAUAACAGAAAAGUUGUAAGUUGACUCUGAUGGUGUAUAUUUCCUUGGUAUUCAUGGAGUGGGUGGCAUUGGUAAAACAGUACUUGCGAGGAUUGUGUUCAACAGAUUAUCUGAUCAUUUUGACGGCGUUAGUUUCCUUAAUGAUGUUCGAGAGUCAUCGAAUCGUGGUCUUAUAAACUUACAAAAAAAGUUAUUAUCAAGUUUUGUUGGUUCUGUGAUUAAUGACCAAAUUAAAGAGAUUGAGGAUGGGAUCCGUUGGAUCAAGAAAGUAUGUAAUACUAAAAAAUGCCUCAUUGUUCUUGAUGAUCUAGACAAAAAAGAGCAACUCGAAAAGCUAGCUGGAGAAUCUGAUUGGUUUGGUUCUGGUAGCAGGAUCAUUAUCACAACUAGGGACAAAAGUAUCCUGAUGACUCAAGUGGAAUCAUCUAAUGAACAAGGCCAAAAUCAAACCAAAGGAAUUUUAGCUUAUGAAGUUCGUGAGAUGGAAUAUGGUCGAGCACUUCAGUUAUUUUGUAAGCAUGCAUUCAGAAGAGACUCUCCUGUAGAAGGAUAUGACCAUCUUGCAGAGAAAAUUGUCCGUAGAGUAGGGAUGCUUCCUUUGGCUGUUGAGGUGAUAGGUUCAUCUCUUUAUUGUGAGGGCUUGGUCCUGGAGGAACAUCUUGAUAAAAUAGAGUUAUGGAAAGACACAUUGAAGCAAUUAGAUGAAGGUCCUCACAAGGAUGUCCAAGAUGCAUUAAUGAUAAGUUAUGAUCGAUUGGAGCCUAAGAACAAAGAAGUAUUUUUAGAUAUUGCUUGCUUUUUCACCAAUGAGGACCAAACAUAUCCAAUUAUCAUGUGGCGUGACCGUAAUUACCAUCCUUACCAUGCAAUUAGUAUUCUCCUCCUGCGGUCCUUGAUAAAAACUAGAGAUGGUAAAAAGUUUUGGAUGCAUGACCAAGUUCGAGAUCUGGGAAGGUACAUUGUCCUCGAAGAAUAUCCUUGCAAAGAAAAUCCUCACAAAUUUAAUAGGGUAUGGAUUCAAGAGGAUGCUUUAAAGCUAUUGGAGAGAAAAGAGAGAAAUCCAGAUGUAGAAGCAUUAAGCCUGACUUCCAAUGGCUGUAGCCGCAACUUUACACCUGAAGAGUUUGCCGCUCUACCAAAUCUAAGGUUCCUUCGAUUGAAAGAGUCUGAUUUUUGUGGUGACUUCAAGAAUCUUCUUUCGGAGCUAAGAUGGCUUUCUUGGCAAACGUGGGAAACAACUUUCCAUGCGAAUAACUUUCACUUUAGCAAUUUGCAUGUGCUUGACCUUUCAGAUAGCAAUAUUAGAGAUGGUUGGGGUGGGUGGAGCCAAAUGAAGAUGGAUAGAUUGAAGAUUCUAGAUCUGACGGGUUGCGUAAGGUUAAAAAAGACACCCGAGUUCUCUAAUUUCAUGUCUUUGGAGAAGCUAAUUCUUGCUAGGUGUGUCGAGUUAACCACAAUUGACCGCUCCAUUAAUAAGCUAGAACACCUAACUUCUUUGAAUAUCAAGGGAUGCAGGUUGCUUGGGGAGUUACCCGAAGAAGUCAGUGCUCUACAAUCUUUGACAGAGGUUAUCAUGCCCCAAACUUUUCAAUGCUUCAAACUUUUGGAGGCAUUUGGCAAUCUGAAAUCUUUGUUGAGUUUGAUAUUAGACGAGCACCUUGGAAUCAGCCAACUUCCAAGCUAUAUUGGAGGGUUAGUGAAAGUUACAUAUUUAUCUUUACGUUGGUGUAUGGGGAUAGAGAAGCUUCCAUGCUCUCUUGGAAAAAUGGAAAUGUUGGGCGAGUUGGAUUUAUCAAUGUCAGGAAUAGUUGAACUACCUGAUUCCAUUGGAGAUAUGAAGAAACUAAAAGUCAUUAGAGUAAGCUAUACAAUGAUAAGAAAUUUUCCUCAUGCGAUUGGACAAGUGGAGAUGCUUGAAGAGUUACAUGCCAAGAAAUGUUGGGAUCUGACAGAUGAAAAUCUAGAGGAAAUUGGGAAGCUAUCCCAUUUGAAGAUAUUGGACUUAUCAUAUACUCAUGUAUCUAGAUUCUCCACGGUGCUAGGUUGUCUCUCUCAUCUCCACACACUUGAAUUGGGUUCGAGUGACCUUCAGGAGGUACCUGAUCUUCCCUCAAGUUUGACACGCCUUCACAUGCAAGCAUGUCAGUUCCAAUCUAUCCUUGACCUCUCAAGUCUCGUUAAUUUAGAUUAUCUGGAAUUAUCUAGAUUAACUGUUUCAAGAGAGAAACCUGACCCAAGUUGGACAAACAAUUUGCCAGUUAAACAACUGAUCCAUCCGCUUCCAAGUGGCUUGUCAACUUUGAAAUGCAGGGGCAUCAUGCUACUACCAUCUCUUUCCAACUUGAGAAAAUUAUCAGUUCUGUGUGUCAUUGAAUAUCCAAUGCCAUACUUCUCUAUCUCUCAGGAGCUAAUACAUUUAACAGAAUUGAAACUAAGUAAGUGCAAAUUUGUUGAGAUAAUAUAUGUGUCAUGCUUGAAGAAUCUACAGCACCUAGAACUAAACAGAUUGGACAGGCUGGUUAAGAUUGAAGGUUUGUUAGAAUUGGCAUCCUUGUUGUACUUUCGUAUUUCUGACUGCUAUAGGAUAAAAAGGUUACCCAACUUAUCAAAGUUAGAUAAGCUACAACACAUUGAGCUAGAAGCUUGUCCAAAAAUAAAAGCGAUUGAGGGCAUCAAGGGCUUAGAAAGGUUGGUGUGGGAUAAUCGUGGUUGCAUUGUACUAGAGAGAUUGCUGGAUGUCUCAAGAUCGACUUGGAUUUCCCGCAAAACACCAGAGUGCCAGGUUUCCUGAGUUUUAAUGGACCGGACACUUCUUACAGCAUUGUCGAUGUCCUUUACAAGAAUUUGGUUCGUAACCAAAUUUCGGUUAUCAGGGAUGAUGACAUAUUGAGCUUUGGUGAUGGAAUUGGUGAAGAGCUUCCGCAAGCACUCAACGACUGCCAUAUCUACAUACCCUUCUUAUCUAAGAACUAUGCUUCUAACUGGUGGUGUCUCCGUGAAUUAGCCCACAUGGUAAAAUGCAUGUCAAACUCACAUGGGAAAAAAGUAAUCCUGCCCAUUUUCUAUGAUGUGGAGGUUGAUGAUGUUAAUCUUAAAAGCGCUUUGUACAGAAGUGCCCUAGAUAAGCAUAGGUGGAAAUUUGGCAAUGAAGUGGAGGAAUGGGAAAUGGCUCUAAGACAGAUUGCGCACAUAAGGCGGUUCAACAUGAAUGGUAACAGCCAUGGAGAACUAAUUGAAUUGUUAGAGAGGUUUCACACAAGCUUAGGGGCAAAAAUGUGGAUGUCCCUGAACAUUUGGUUGAGGAUCACAGACAUAUAGAAGCGAUAAUAGAUAAAUUGGAUGUUGACUCUGGUGGUGUGCGUUUUGUUGGGAUACAUGGAAUGGGUGGUAUCGGUAAAACAACACUUGCGAAGGUUGUGUUCAACAAAUUACUUUUUCAGUUUGACAGUGUUAGUUUCCUCCACAAUGUUCGAGAAUCGUCCCGACAUAGUCUUGAUGGUCUUGUAAACUUGUAGAAAAAGUUAUUAUCGAAUCUUAUUGGUUCUGGAGAUACUAUCUGAAUCAAAGACAUAGGUGAUGGGAUGGCUCAAAUCAAGAGAGUAUGUAGGACUAAAAAGGUUCUCAUGGUUCUUGAUGAUCUAGACAAGAAAGAGCAACUCCAAAAGCUAGCCGGAAAAUCUGAUUGGUUUGGUUUGGGUAGCAGGAUCAUUAUCACAACUAGGGACGAAAGUAUCUUGAUGACUCAAGUGGAAUCAUUCGGUGAAGUGGUCCUAAAUCAACCUAAAGGAAUUUUGGCUUAUGAAGUUUAUGAAAUGGAAUUUGGUCGAGCACUUCUGUUGUUUAGUGAGCACGCAUUCAGAAGAGACGAUCCCAUAGGAGAAUAUGAGCAUCUUGCAGAGAAAAUUGUCCGUAGAGUGGGAAUGCUUCCUUUGGCUGUCGUGGAGAUAGGUUCAAGUCUUCGUUCCAGUCAAAAAAUUGUAGAAUGGGAAGAUAGGUUGAUGCAGUUAAAUAAAGGUCCUUUGAAGGUUGUCUGCGAUGCAUUUUAUGAAGGAUUAGCAUAUGAGGAAAAAGAAGUAUUUUUGGAUAUUGCUUGCUUUUUCACCAACGAGGACCAAACUUAUUCAUAUAUCAUGUGGGAUGAUUAUCAGAGUGCAAUUAGUGUCCUCCUCCAAUAGUCCUUGAUAAAAAUUAGAAAUGAUAAAUUUUGGAUGCAUGACCAAUUAUGAGAUCUGGGAAGGAAAAUCAUAGUUGAAAAAUAUCCUCACGAAUGUAGGAGGGUGUGGAUUCAUGAGCGUGUUGUUGCAAUGCUAUGGGACAGAAAAGAGAGAAAUCAAGGUCUGGAAGCCCUAAGCCUGAAUUCUAGUGGUGGCUGGAGGAGCAUCUAUACGGCUGAAGAAUUAGCUACUGCAUCAAAAUUAAGGUUCCUUAGAAUGAAAGGCCUAGAUGGCAUCUUUGAGAAUCUUCUUCCGAAGCUAGGAAGGCCUUUUGGGGAAACAUUGGGGAUGGCUUUUCAUGCAAAUAACUUUCACUUCAGUAAUUUGGUCAUGUUUGACCUUUCAGAUAGCAAUAUUGGAGAUGGCCGGGAUGG
This is an RNA transcript of Eucalyptus grandis, 5672 nucleotides long. It is a transcript of the gene named leucine-rich repeat protein soc-2 homolog, with no coding region annotated. The transcript is spliced from 6 exons. The record is from RefSeq and is a predicted model, not a curated record. NCBI's taxonomy places the organism in Eukaryota, Viridiplantae, Streptophyta, Magnoliopsida, Myrtales, Myrtaceae.